RNAcentral lists this ribosomal RNA (361 nucleotides) under Roeweria bittencourti. Its description in RNAcentral is "partial large subunit ribosomal RNA". The stretch from base 104 to 361 matches the Rfam family "Bacterial large subunit ribosomal RNA", at positions 2078 to 2620 of the family's 2925-position model. The record is from RNAcentral. Lineage: Eukaryota; Metazoa; Arthropoda; Arachnida; Opiliones; Gonyleptidae.
CUUUUUAAUUGAAAGCUGGGAUGAAAGGUAGAAACUAAGAAGAGAGUUUUAUUUGAUAAAUUUGAAUUUAAAUUAAAAGUAAAAAUGCUUUUGUUAAUUUUUGGGACGAGAAGACCCUAGAAGCUUAAAAUUUUUAUAUUUUUGAUUGGGGCAAUUUAUGAAGAGAUUAAUUUUUAUAAAAUUUAAAAUUGAGGAGAAUAAAGUUACUCUAGGGAUAACAGCGUAAUUUAGUUAACAAGUUCUUAUUAAUAAUUAGGUUUGCGACCUCGAUGUUGAAUUAAUAUUUAUUUUUGGUGAAGAAGCUUAGAAGGGGAAGUCUGUUCGACUAUUAAAAUAUUACGUGAUCUGAGUUCAGACCGGA